GGGCCCUACGGGGGGCAGCAGUAGGGAAUCUUCCACAAUGGACGAAAGUCUGAUGGAGCAACGCCGCGUGAGUGAAGAAGGUUUUCGGAUUGUAAAGCUCUUUCGGAUGUGACGAUGAUGACGGUAGCAUCUAAAGAAGCCCCGGCUAACUUCGUGCCAGCAGCCGCGGUAAUACGAAGGGGGCAAGCGUUGUUCGGAAUUACUGGGCGUAAAGGGAGCGUAGACGGCGAAGCAAGUCUGAAGUGAAAACCCAGGGCUCAACCCUGGGACUGCUUUGGGAACUGUUUUGCUAGAGUGUCGGAGAG
Molecule: ribosomal RNA, 305 nt
Filed under: uncultured bacterium
Lineage: Bacteria
Description: bacterial SSU rRNA
Rfam family: Bacterial small subunit ribosomal RNA
Source: RNAcentral